GACGAACGCUGGCGGCGUGCUUAACACAUGCAAGUCGAACGGUGAAGCGCCUUCCUUUUUGGUGGGUGUGGAUGAGUGGCGAACGGGUGAGUAACACGUGAGUAACCUGCCCCCUUCUUCUGGAUAACCGCAUGAAAGUGUGGCUAAUACGGGAUAUUCUGGGUCUGUCGCAUGAUGGGUCUGGGAAAGAUAUUGUUUCGGUGGGGGAUGGGCUCGCGGCCUAUCAGCUUGUUGGUGGGGUGAUGGCCUACCAAGGCGGUGACGGGUAGCCGGCCUGAGAGGGUGGACGGUCACACUGGGACUGAGACACGGCCCAGACUCCUACGGGAGGCAGCAGUGGGGAAUAUUGUACAAUGGGCGCAAGCCUGAUGCAGCGACGCCGCGUGAGGGAUGGAGGCCUUCGGGUUGUGAACCUCUUUCGCCAGUGAAGCAGGCCUGCCUCGUUUGUGGGUGGGUUGACGGUAGCUGGAUAAGAAGCGCCGGCUAACUACGUG
Molecule: ribosomal RNA, 494 nt
Filed under: uncultured bacterium
Lineage: Bacteria
Description: partial 16S ribosomal RNA
Rfam family: Bacterial small subunit ribosomal RNA
Source: RNAcentral